Gasterosteus aculeatus aculeatus (three-spined stickleback) is the source of this 8717-nucleotide non-coding RNA. Lineage: Eukaryota; Metazoa; Chordata; Actinopteri; Perciformes; Gasterosteidae. The record is from RefSeq and is a predicted model, not a curated record.
CUCCCCAUAAAUCCCAGCUGUUGAUUUUGGAAUGCUUUUGACAGAGGAGCAACUCAUUUUUUCGCCUUUAGUUUUGACUGGGGGUUUUAUUUUCAACAGAGCAGGCACAGUGAGCUGGCAGUGUAGUCACGUCAGUCUGGUCUGCAGUGCAACGUUUCCUCUCUGAGUGUGCUGUUUUUGUGUGUGCGCGUGUGUUUGUUGCCGACUCACGUGUGCUUAAAGUAGUACGUGAUUAGUUAUGAGGGACGUCACGGGACGUCACGGGCUCGUGCCUCCGUAUAGAAUAAGAGAUAUAUCAAUAUGUCCAUUUAUCGGUUUUGACGUUUUGCGAUAGGAAUACCGUCUUCAAACCAUCCAAAGACCACAACAAAUAAAUAAGUAUAAAUGGUCAAAAUAAAAUGACCAAACCCACAUACUUGAUAUGGGCUUCCUCCCAUAUAUUUGUGCUCAUUACAUGUCCAUAUGCUGCAGGUACACGCGCAUGUCUAAAUAAUGUCAACAAGAGAGCCGUCCUCUGAGCUCCGCCUGCAGAUUUUACGCUACUGUAACGCAAGCGGGUAUCAUCUCAAGCUGCUUCCCUUUCCCCAAAGCCGCCACCGCUGCAUGUGACUCGACUGCCCUGCGUGUGUGUGUCUGUGCACUCUGCGGGUGCACGCGAGAGCGUGCGUAACCGACACGUGCCAGCGUGCGCGUUGCGUUAGCGCGCACACCCGAGACGGAUCGUGGUGAGGAUUAAAAAGUAUACGACUCUCCUCUCUCCGCCCACCUCCUCAGGUUUUAAUAACCUCUCGUUCCACCCGAAAGGAGAAGGUCUCCGUGGGCAACGAAAGACAGCCUCCCCAAAAACCCUGCCAGUGAUCAAUGGAGACGAAAAUUCACUGACGCCGCUCAUACAAAUAAGGACAAGCAAAGGCGACCUGCCUUUCUCGCAGCUCCAUCUCUGCCCGCGAUGGGAGCCGAUAGCGGAGUGAGAAGUGUGAGCGCGUGCCCUGCGCGUGUGUGAUCGCAGCUAAACGGGGGGAGAUGGAUGACGGUAAUUUAGGGCCAAGACAUCAAUCUCUCAAGAGGGAAUAGAUUUCUGUAGGACACCUGGAGCCAUUCGCCCUCCUGAGAUGACCUAUCCACUUUGCGGUGACGCCACUUAUUUCCAAACCAUCCACAACACCAGCGCCCUGCUCCGGUGAACAGUGAAUUUGUAUCCCCCUCAGACGUCCUACCGGAGAAGGAAAGACAACCUUGGCUGAAGACUCUGUGUAAGCACUUCAUUAGCUCCUCGGCUCCCAACAUCCACAUCGUAAUCUGAGUGACGGCCAGUGUGAGAAGAACCCAGCAAAAUACCCCAAACCGACUGAUGACACUCCAGCAGGAAACGUGCUAGCAGUGAAGGCAGGAAACGCCAGUCCCUUAAUUGAGAGGACUAAUUAAGAGGACAUUAUUUAAUUGUCCUCCUAAGCUAUCGCCUCUUUAACUUGGUUGUGAGAAGCCAGCGCUGUGCUAUGAUGGAAUUUAAUUUCACAAUAGAGGGUUGUUCUGGUACUUAGCUGCCACUUGCGACGUAGCAGUUGAGGUUAAAUAGAGCGCAUGUCGCUGAAAUUGAUUGCGUUGUGCAAACAGCUAUUGACAAAGGUCACACUUAAUGUUGGGGCGAUGCAUCAUCUCAAAGCACGUUUUAUGUUAAUUACAUUUUGCCAGGUGACCUCCGCUCGUCAUUGCUAAAUUAACCGGUUUGUGUUUUGAGAAAGUUAAAUUACAAUUUGAAUGUGUUUGUGUGUGUGUGUGUGUGUGUGUGUGUGUGUGUGUGUGUGUAAGGUAACGGGAAGGACCCAAAUGCAGAUUUUUAUUUGCAGAUUAGUAUGUGAUCUCUGGGUCACUUUGUAUAAGAAGAACCCCUUUGAUUUAUUGAAACAACCUACCCAAAGGCCUGACAAGUCAAUGUAGCAUCACGUCUUUGACAAACUGACAAAGAACAAGGGGACGUUCACCUGUACGAAUACAACUGGGCUGAGUAAUUACAAACGGGAAGCAGGUGGGAAGGGAAGGAACCUCCAGGGCUGGUGAAGGAAAGUGAGCACAGGUGAAGAGGUUCGUGGAGAAGGUCACGUGACUGGGAAUGUUUUUUGUUUUUUUUCUCAGACCAGGGGGGGUUUGAGUGACAAGCGGAAAAGUCAAAAGCCAUAUGGUAGCUGGAAAAUUGCCCACAAACCACUUUGAAGGAAUGUGAACGAAGGCAGGACCACAGAGGCAUAUUUUAAAACUCAUAGUAUUUGCAAAAUUAUUUAUAUAUCAUGGGAUUUACUAACAAUGGAUAAACUCAACUCAUUGUGAUAAGCUGUGCUGUAUUUAGGAAGGACUGUGUUGAAUUGUAAUGCCCCACUCUUUAUUUAUGCAAAUCUUAUUUGGAUCUUCGAUUUAAAAGUCCACCGAACGUGUGACCUUGUCUCAGUUACAGUUCAGCUAGACAGAAGUAAGGAUACUGUUGAUUCUUUAGAGAUACAGCAUGAAGGCAAAGAAAUAAUAACGGCACCAAUCAGUAAAAAUGAAUAGUAAAAAGAUAAAGUGGAACUGCGUAGUGCAGGAUGUUGCUACUUGAGUGAACAGAUCUUGUGUGACUAACAGCAGCAGCUGGUAUGAGGUGCGUGAGAAACGACUCAAAGUUAGUCGAAGUCGAACAGAUGGACCAGCUGGUCUCCAUUGGUUGGUAACCAUGGUAAUUUGGAUUUGACCUUAUUUGUGUCUUAAUAUUUCUACCGCACACCCACAGCACCAAAUCCUCUCCAUGACAAUGUUGGCAUGUCCUUCCAUACUUGUAAACAGCUCAGUCAGGAAUAUUUCCACUUAAGCAAAUUUGACUUGGCUAUCAAGAAGACCUUUUGGCCAAUUUUGCCAACACACGCAUGUACACACCUAUUUCCAACAGGACCAACUGUUGUGCUCAGUGUCACGGUUCCCACAUUGGUCCAACAUGCUUUCUGAACAUGAGGGAGGUCUCUUGUGUUCCUCAUUCUCACAGGUUCUGUCCUCAGCAUGAGGCCUGUCGUCAAUCCACCGCUAAAAAUACGCAAACUAAAGAGGGAGAUUUCACUGCUCCAUGUAGCCUGAGAUUCAGCCAUUUUAUUGGGACACAAUAUUUAUCCUUUGGGUGCAUAGCAUUGUUUUCCAAAGAGUAGGUCCCUGUUCAAUACUUCAACCUACAAGUGUGACUUUGGAAAAUGCAGAUCCUGAAAAUGUUGUGCUGAAGUCCGGGGAAAGCAAACAAAAAGGUCAGUAGCAAUUUGGUCUUAAUGUGUAAUGUUUACUUUAGGUUUCAUGGAGUCCAGAGAUUGGGGCUAAAUGAUAAAUUACAUUACAGGUCAUUUAGCUGACGCUUUUAUCCCCCCCCCAAAAAAGUUCAAUUUUUAACCCAUCAAUUUUUACAUUUUUGCCUGGGGAGCAAUUAGGAGUUAUGUGUCUUGCUCAGGGACACUUCAACGUGGAGCAGCUUCAUUUUAUAUCAACGCUCAUCGUUUGUUUCUAUUUAUUGACGUCAUGGUUGCAGCCGGUGCAACACAGAGUAUAUAGUUUUCUACCGUGUGACAGAAUUUAUUAUUGUAUAUUAAAGUUUCGCCAUCUGCAUUCAUUUUAAUGAGUUGCUCUCUGCAGGUUCUCCUGCCGAUAAAGAUAGUUUCUCUUUCCUCAGUGCAUGAAGCCAGAAAGCUCUUGUUGAUUUAAUGCAUAAAUGAUGGCGCAGUAAUAUAGUCAAGGAUGAUAUAAAUUGUUUAUAUAGCUGUUUAUAGUGCUCUCCAGGUAAGAGGAUGUGUGUAUGACUAUUUUUUGUAUCUAUUUCAAACAGACAUAACAAACACAUGCAAACCAUGUUAAUGAGUUUAGAUUCUGAUACAUUACACACGGGCCAUCGGCUCGUCUCUGGCUCCAUGUGAUCUGGAUUAAUGGCGGAGUGCAUCCACAGUAUUGCAUAUCUGCAAUAUAAUCUACAUGGUGAGGUCACACCAAGCUGCUUAAUAGCACUGGUUCGUCUGUAAGUAUAGUGAUCGGCUUUCCCCAUCACCCUCUCUCUCUCUCCCCUCCUCUGCUGUAAUCCUCACAAUGAUGUAUUAUGCCCACGCUGCAGUGUUAUGGGCAAGACUAUGCUUUCUCAUUCAUGUUUGAAUUCAAUUCAGCCAUUUGACUGAUGCCAAAAAUCAUUGCAAAGUUAAAUUCCGAUGAUUAAGUCAUCGAUUACUUUUAUUGAUCAUCAUGCACUGCACCGGCAUUAUUAGGGGUUCAAAUAAAUAAUUGAAAUCCACUUAAAGUGGAAAAUGACGUUGGAUUAAUGUUGUGAAAUGAUUUCUUAGGAUUAGGCUAUAAUAGUAUAUGUGUGAGGUUAGAAUGAUGGAAACGAUGACGUAAGCUGUGUUUGUUUGACCCGUCUACGUCGUACUCCCACCCUCUGUGGACACGGGUGCACUUUUCAUUAUACCAUGUGAAGUCAAAGUGACCUCACGUUGAACAACGGUCGCACAGCUUAUUUCCCAAACCUGCUCAACACCAGCUCGCUGCGCCAAGUGUGAGCAAAUGCAGAAAUGUCCAUAUAAAUGAUUCACAAUAGACAAUUAUUAUUAUUAUUGUUAUUUCUCAGGAUCCAGUGUUUCAGGCGCAAAUUCAUUGCAUUUCAUAUGUUUUAUUUGGUCAUAACUUUAAAAGACUUGAUUUCUAUGAAAAAAAAGAGGUGAAGUGUUUCACAAUGUUGUUUUUCUGUCCUGUGUACAUAAUCUAAGAUCAACACAGCAGCUCUGCUGCCUUGUUUAAAUGAGAUGCUUUGGAUAACAAUCCUGUUGGCCGGCUGCCCGAGCUAUUAACGUCUCCCCAUCUCACACAAACUGCAGCAACUUUAUUAUUAAGUACACAAUCUAUUUGUAAUACUUGCUAAUUUGAUGUGAAAUCACUGUGUCACUGAGUGUGAUGCAUGAAACACACAACUAAAACAAAUGAAGACCGUCUCAACUCAUGAAAGGCAAAUCGUUGUGUGGUGCAAAAGGUGUUUGUGCAGAUGGUGCGAAGGAAUGUGAGAGCCAAAACAUUCUAAAUGUGGUGUUCAGUGAGAGGUUUUGAGUGUCCGGGGAAUAUAUCUAGGAUGUUGACACUAUAAAUAAAGAAACAGAUAAUAAUUUGUCAAAAGCCUGGUGCAGAAGCUGAGAUGUGACCUUUCACCUCCCAGCGUGGGAGACCCACGUCGUUGGUUCAGUGCCGUCUUCUCCACAAGCUCCAGAUGACCCUUUUGGAAUAAGAACAACUUGGUUGCCAUGGUGACUCGAGCCAUUUUAACAAUAUGCUCUGUUGCUACAGUGUGUAGAGGCUUGAUACAGACCAGUUACUUCCAAAGAACGAACUAAUUGCAGGUGUAUUUUUUUAGGUAGUGCCCAGGUGAUGAACGUUGCUCUGCAUUUUUAUAAAUAUUCCACAGAAUAAAAAAUCCACCAUGAAUUUACAAUGCUUAAGGCAAAUUUAUUUUGAAGAAAUGUAUCAAACAAAUGUAAUUUUCAUAGAAAGAGUCUUAAACACAAAUGCAAGCAUCUUCCAUAUUUCCUGAUUUUUGUUGUUACCCAAAUGUAUUUGUAUAACAUAUUUGUUGGUAUUUGAAAAUGAAGCAGUCAGAAGGAUUUCCCUCUGCUGGUAGUUCCAGCUGUGUCCACUUUUGGUUUAUGUCCAAAUAAAUCCCGAUCCCUCAUUAGUGUCAAAUAAACAACACCGAAAGAAGCUUUCAAAACUGAUCGAUUGAAUCUGCAUAAUCUUGUUUUAACUUUGUUAAAGGAUUAUUAUCUAAUUGAAGUUGACAUUUUUCAACAAAAUUCAACUAAUUGAUCAGAUUAAAAUACGAUGUGUUGCCAUUCCUUUUCAAUAAGAAAAACGGACAAAUGGCGUCAAUAUGAUCCUUUUGAUUUGACGUCAAAAUGUUAAUCGGAGCACCUCAUCUGCCCCUCGUGGUGUUUCUGUUCCAAAAGCAUGCGGCGUGCUGUAGUACAUCGAAGGAGGUCGCUCGUCACUGAUUCUGGGGUUAUUUUUAACCGGCCCCCGUGUGCAGGUCUAAUCAGAACAGGAUGUUCCUCAUCAAAUCAACCAGGAAUAUAUUUUCAUGAAAUGAGACUGGGUCUGUGCAUGUACCCUACCAUGAUGUAGCAGACUUAUUAGUGUGGAUGUAGGUCAAUCACAUGAGUGGGUUACCCUACUGGGUGGAGUAGUGCAAUUUGUCCACUACAGCUGACAAUCAGAGCAGGUUAGUUACGUCAUAAUGGAGAAAUAACACACAGACAAACGUAUAUUUGAAAUGGUUCUUUUUUAUUUUAUUCAAAUUAAAAAUAUAUAAAAAAGGUAAUCUAUAGCUUUUUCAAUAUUCCUAUAUGUAAUAAGGAAGUUUCACCAUAACUGUAGUUUAUUAAAAAAAAAAGGUUCAAUCCUCUACUCUGCAACUCUCAGUGCAUCCACAUUGAGCAGAUGUCCUCCCUGCUGGUGUAUAAGCAGCAAGUUUAACAGGUUAAAUAAACUACAUGAAUUAUGUUGUCAUCAAACUCUUGGCAGUAAUAAAUUCCCUCUAGAGGUCAGAAGUCAUAUGCAUUUCAAACAGUGACACAUUUUAAUGUACCGUACUGCCGCAAAACCACAAAACAGUCAACAGUAUUUCGGAUCAGUGUAGAUGAAAGCGCAUAAUAUGCCUCACAGAAAAAAGAGCGUCUAUAAAGUUGAGUUAAAUCGGCCGCCACCUCGACAUAGUGCACGGCGUCGUGUGUUUCCGUGGCUCCGUCACACUGGGACGAACACAGCCAGAGACACUGAGUCUGUUUCCCAUCUGUGCAACACGCAGCGUUCCGGGUUAUUGGCUGCUUUACACCGUUGCAUUCCCCCCCCCCGAGCAACAGCUUGACAUGUCGGGCACAGGAGAGCUGGUGUUCUGCCUGUGCCCCCCUAAAAGCACCCACCCUCCCCCCUUUUUCCUAAUGUAUCUGUUUAUCCAAAUAUCUUCUCCGUCUCUUCCUCCACCUGGUCGGCUGCGCCCUCCGCCUCUCGAGGUUGUUCCUGGCCGUCCUCUCACCUCUCCACCUCUGCCGCCUUCCGUCUCUCUCCGUCGUCUUCUCUCUUGUCUCCUGGGUUGACAGCGUGGAAGGUGGAUGGAUCCGACAGCCUGGCGCAGUCUGGCGUUUCAGUGAAUCCGAUGUGUUUAAUAUGGUGCCUGCUGACAGCGCUUUGGGAAUUGUUCGCAGUUGGAGGAGACACGGCCACACUUUGGCCCGUCCGCCCUCCAUCACUCGCGCUUUCAGUGUGCCAGCGUAGGGGAAGCAUUUCUUCACGUGUGUGUGUGUGUGUGUGUGUGUGUGUGUGUGUGUGUGUGUGUGUGAGUGCAUCCACGUGUGUUUUUAGGGGAGUCAAAGGUCAGCAGAAUAAGGCGCCUUCCUUUCUCUAACAGCUUUUCCUGAAAGGGUUCACAUCCUCCCGGUGGUGAUGGCACGCAGGCUUCACUGGUGAUACUCGACAAACAAACUGAAACUCACAGAAUGACUUUCUGUGAAUCACCUGCUCGGUGACUUUGAGUCUUUCGCAGUCUGGAAAUUGUUUCCCAAAGCAAAUAAUGUGUAAAACUUUUGCAUUGAUAAACACAUGUUGCUUGCUGCUCAAGUUUGUCUCUGCACCUGAAACUGACUUGAUUUGCAUCGACACGUCACUUGAAUUUAAAUUGAAUUAAAGAUGCGCAUAUUUAGAGGACAGAGCUACAUAAUCAAUAGAUUUGUUCUGAGGUGACAACGGCAAAUUUAUUAGGACAAUGCCUGUUUGAAUAUAAAUGUUAUUUGUCUGCCUUUUAUUAUAGAUGGCAAAGAAAAUUCAGAGAACAUUGAGUUUCAAAAAUAAAAUGAAAAAGGUUUUAGUUACAAUAUUCAGCUGUGUAACUUUACUUUACCGAGUUGUUAAUGUUUGUUGUUGUUAAUGUUGUUGCAUCAUGAAUUAAUCUGUGUGCUGUUCUUCUGCUCAUAUUUAGGCACGCUCUGCAACGUCUCCACACACACACACACACACACACACACACACACACACACACACACACACACACACACACACACGCACACGCACAAUCUUCUACAUAUCAGCCUGUGUGUGUGUGUGUGUGUGUGUGGGGGCACCAUGUGCAGUCAAACUGUGAUUUUCUCUGUGCCCGUGUAAAAAACAUAUGGUGAGUCAGUGUGUAGGAGUGGAGCGCCGGUGGGCCGGUGGGUGGAGGAGGGAGCGCUGAUGGGUGGUGGCGAGGAGGAAAGAGGAUUCAGGUUGUGCACCAAUAGGUGGCACUCUACCCUUUCGUGAUUGGCCCUGGUGACCAAAGAUGUGCACAUGUGUUUGCACCCCAAUCUCACGUGAACUUUAAUGAUGCAACUACCUUUUAUUCUGGUUGUUCCUGCUGCUGGCUGCUCUUAGUUUAGAAGAAUAGAAGCAGAGUAAGAUGAGAGUGUGGCUGGAGGGGGGUGGGUGGGGGGGUUACACCACUCUAUGUGAAUGAAUGGAGAGUUAUCUCCGAUGUGGCUUUUAGUUAAUAACUUUGGGGCUGAAUGCAUGAAUUGAUGUGUGGGAAACGGUGGUUUAAGCGAAAAUAAUCCCAUAACAAACAAACAUUGGUGGACUUGUUUUAUCAUUUGGAAUUGUACUUCAUGCGUGUCUGUUCAUGUCUGUAUGUAGCGUAAUAAAUAUGAUGGUUUGUGUGG